UACGUAGGGUGCGAGCGUUUGUCCGGAAUUAUUGGGCGUAAAGGGCUCGUAGGCGGUUUGUCGCGUCGGGAGUGAAAUCCACUGGCUUAACUGGUGGCUUGCUUUCGAUACGGGCAGACUGGAGGUAUGCAGGGAGAACGGAAUUCCUGGUGUAGCGGUGAAAUGCGCAGAUAUCAGGAGGAACACCGGUGGCGAAGGCGGUUCUCUGGGCGAUGUCCUGACGCUGAGGAGCGAAAAGUGUGG
RNAcentral lists this ribosomal RNA (243 nucleotides) under uncultured bacterium. RNAcentral describes it as "partial 16S ribosomal RNA". It matches the Rfam family "Bacterial small subunit ribosomal RNA", at positions 524 to 764 of the family's 1533-position model. The record is from RNAcentral.